AUGGAUGGAUGGAUGGACGGUCGGACGGAUGGACGGACAGCCAGUAGGCUGGAAGACGGCGAGUGGCCGGGCUCCCACAGCCCCACCUGGGGAGCCCUCGCCCCUGGGCCACUCCCCUCUCCUCAAGGCACCUCCAACACCCUCUGGCCUCUGGACACCUGGCCCGUCAGCAGGAGGGAAAACCCAGGAAGGUCUCCUGUCCAUCAGCAAGUCUUCAUUCUCCUUCCGGUGUUUCUCUGCCCUCAGUCUGGGGCUCCUCUCCGCUGUCAGCGCCUUUCCAGCCACCCGCCGUCACCCAAGAUGUCCUCCCUGGCCCAACAGGUCAGCGACUUGGUUAGAUGCUGUCCUUUAUCUCUGGGGCCCUUAACCCUACUCUAUUUCUGUUUUACGGGGUGUUGGUACCCAUGGGCCUCUGUUUCUCCCAGAGCAGAGCUGACACUGGUCCGCACUGCCCUGGGACGGAUGGACAGACAGCCGGCCUUUAGCGGGUCUCUGCCUGGCCUCUGUCUGGAGUCUCACAGGAGGGGCUCCCAGGGCUGCACGCAUGUGUCGGCAGGUGCCCUCCAGACCUGUUCCUGCCGCCCACCUGAGACCCUGCCCCCAGAGCGAGCCUUUCUCUUUUGGUUCUGGGACUGGGCCAAAGGCAAAGAUCAGAGGCAAAGGUCAGAAAUUCUGGCUCUGGGGCGCCUGGGUGGCUCAGUGGGUUAAGCGGCUGCCUUCGGCUCAGGUCAUGAUCUCAGCGUCCUGGGAUCGAGUCCUACAUCGGGCUCCUUGCUCGGCAGGGAGCCUGCUUCUCCCUCUGCCUGCCUCUCUGUCCGCCUGUGCUCGCUCGCUCUCUCUCCCUCUAUCCCUGACAAAUAAAUAAAAAUAAAAUCUAAAAAAAAAAAAAAGAAAUUCUGGCUCUGCCUGGGCAGCUGCCCGCCGCCUGGGCAGGGGCCGCUGGUGUGGGAGGAGGGGCCACGCGAGGUUUGUGCCCAAGGACCCCUUGCCCGCACCUCCACUCUCUCCCACACCCUUCCUCCAGCUCCCCACCCCUUUUUGGGGGGUGGAGCACGGUGUGGGUGGGCACAGAUCUCGGGGUUACCCCCUUCCAUCCCCGGGGACACCCGGCCCUGCAGCCUUGGUGGAGUCUCGGCCAGGAGAGGAGUUAGAAUGAGUGCAGAGCGCCUGGAGCUGCAUGGGGGGUCACACCUGACCCAGGUGACGGGUGACGCAGUGGGGGGCGCAUGGCCUUGGUGGGUGCCGAUGGGACAGAUGGGGGUGGGGGCCUUCCUGGGGCUGGGUCACCUCUAUUUACAGAGCUGAUUCAUAAGACAUAAACAGAGAAGGAGCUGGGAAUGGAGGGGGCUGGGCCUUCCCACAUAGCCUCUGAGGGCCGGAGAGCUGAGGAAGGCGGCUGCUAGGGACCCCAUGGGAGUGCGUGUCCCCGGAGGUAUGCAGGCUCCUGAGGGCUGGGGAAGACUGGGGCGGAGACUGCCCUCCCCCGCCCCCACGCCUCCUCCCUGGCCCCUGGAAUGCAGGCUCUGUGCGUCUGUACCGUGGGUUCUGCAGAGAACACCAGCGGGGCUGAGUUCAGGCGCUUGACCCCAUGGGAGGGAGGCUGUGGCCCCAGGAGGCCCUGCUUGCCUGUCUGCAGAACCAGACGGACCUUGCGACCACGUUCCUGGGGGCUCAUGAUGGCAGCAAAGAGGGCAGGGGUCCGGACUGGCCAGUGCUGGACACAGACCCAGCGCAGAGGGACGCAGCAGGGCUGACGGAGGCGGUGGUGGGCGUUGGCCGGCCGGACAGAGCCGCUGCCCGUGGUCCCCGCGGUGUCUCCCACACACCUUCACGGGCCACGGACGCUCGACUUUGGAUAUAGUUUUAUCCCCGGCGUGUAUCCCACAGCCUGUCCCAGAGGUGUCCCCAGUGUCAGCCCGAGGCCCCAGAGAGCUGUUCUCGGCCGCAGGAAUCAAGGAGCAGGACCACCCAAAGCGCACGCAAAUGGGACCUGUCCUGCGCCUCGCUCUUAGGCGGGGGCGGAGGCCAAGGGCCAGCAGCCGUCCUGGCCCGAGACAGAGAGCCCCGGAAAAGGAGGCCGCGGGAGGAAGCGCGACGGGCCUGCGGGUUCCCCGGCGGCGCAGGCGACUGGCCAGGUGGGAAAACAGGGCCAGAAGGACCUGGGGAAAUAAAAAAUAUAAUGUCGGAAACUCUUCAGCUCUCACAGAAGGAUUGAAAGGCUGAGUUGGGCAAGUCUCAGAGAAGACAGAGCCAAACCGCACGGGACAGACCGUGAGCCCCGCGCCCGGGGGAGGCCCGGACCUGAGCGACCAGCGCGGCUCUGGCCAGCAGCUUCCGCCGGGGGCGGGGCCUGGGGCACUGCGGACUCAGUGCCCAGUGUUCAGGUUUCCUUUACAAAUGUGUGCAGGCGCCGGGGUGGCUCAGUGGGGUGAAGCCUCUGCCCAGGGCCCUGGGAUCGAGCCCUGCAUCGGGCUCUCUGCUCAGCGGGGAGCCUGCUUCCCCCUCUCUCUCUGCCGGCCUCUCUGCCUACUUGUGAUCUCUGUCUGUCAAAUAAAUAAAUAAAAUCUUUAAAAAAGA
RNAcentral lists this long non-coding RNA (2577 nucleotides) under Mustela putorius furo (domestic ferret). Its description in RNAcentral is "lncRNA (ENSMPUG00000031730.1)". The record is from RNAcentral. Lineage: Eukaryota; Metazoa; Chordata; Mammalia; Carnivora; Mustelidae.